CAGUCCACGCAGUAAACGAUGAGUGCUAGUUGUCGGGAUUUUUCUCGGUGGCGAAGCUAGCGCGUUAAGCACUCCGCCUGGGGAGUACGGCCGCAAGGCUAAAACUCAAAGGAAUUGACGGGGACCCGCACAAGCAGUGGAGCAUGUGGUUUAAUUCGAUGAUACGCGAGAAACCUUACCAGCUCUUGAAUCCUGAUUACGAUUUUCAGAGAUGAAUUUUUCAGUUCGGCUGGUUGAGUGACAGGUGCUGCAUGGCUGUCGUCAGCUCGUGUCGUGAGAUGUUGGGUUAAGUCCCGCAACGAGCGCAACCCUCGCCCCUAGUUGCCAGCAUUCAGUUGGGCACUCUAGGGGAACCGCCGGUGAUAAGCCGGAGGAAGGUGGGGAUGACGUCAAGUCCUCAUGGCCCUUACGGGAUGGGCUACACACGUGCUACAAUGGCAUCUACAGUGGGUUAAUCCCCAAAAGAUGUCUCAGUUCGGAUUGUUCUCUGCAA
RNAcentral lists this ribosomal RNA (493 nucleotides) under uncultured bacterium. RNAcentral's name for it is "bacterial SSU rRNA". It matches the Rfam family "Bacterial small subunit ribosomal RNA", at positions 791 to 1310 of the family's 1533-position model. The record is from RNAcentral.